This 281-nucleotide long non-coding RNA is filed under the name Anser cygnoides (Swan goose). RNAcentral describes it as "lncRNA (ENSACDG00005002015.1)". The record is from RNAcentral. Lineage: Eukaryota; Metazoa; Chordata; Aves; Anseriformes; Anatidae.
GUUAGUUACUGCAUGAAAUCUUGAUUGGGGAACCACUACACAACCAGCUGCAGUGAAGGGAAGCUUUGCAGCACCUUACACAAGGUAUUGCAGGGAAUGUAAAUAAAGCAGGAAGACUACUGGAAGGAACACCCUGCAUGACUGAAUCCAGUUUCCUGCUAGCGCAGUCAGACAUAGGUAAGGGAUUGUAACAUAAAUUGAUCAAGCAACAUCUCAGAAGCAGAUAGGAUCUUUAUGUUGACUCUGCUGUGUAAAAAUGCUGGGAUUCUGCUCUAGAACAC